UACGAAGGGUGCAAGCGUUACUCGGAAUUACUGGGCGUAAAGCGUGCGUAGGUGGUUCGUUAAGUCUGCCGUGAAAGCCCCGGGCUCAACCUGGGAAUGGCGGUGGAUACUGGCGGACUAGAGUGCGGUAGAGGGUGGUGGAAUUCCCGGUGUAGCAGUGAAAUGCGUAGAGAUCGGGAGGAACAUCUGUGGCGAAAGCGACUUCCUGGACCAAUACUGACGCUCAUGUGCGAAAGCGUGGGGAGCAAACAGG
Molecule: ribosomal RNA, 253 nt
Filed under: uncultured bacterium
Lineage: Bacteria
Description: partial 16S ribosomal RNA
Rfam family: Bacterial small subunit ribosomal RNA
Source: RNAcentral